Corvus hawaiiensis (hawaiian crow) is the source of this 692-nucleotide long non-coding RNA. RefSeq lists it as uncharacterized. Lineage: Eukaryota; Metazoa; Chordata; Aves; Passeriformes; Corvidae. The transcript is spliced from 3 exons. The record is from RefSeq and is a predicted model, not a curated record.
CAGCACUUUAAACACUCACUUUAAAAAAAAAAAUGAAUUAAGCAAAAUUUUCCUUCUUUAACCUUAGUUGGGAAGAGCAGCCAGUAGGAAGAGCAGUGGAAUUUCAAACAACCCUGUGCCACAGAUCACCCUAGUUGGAAAAAGGCAACAACUGAGAAGGACAUGCUUGUGUGUCCGUGAGACACCAUCCAUAUACGUAUUUCCAUUGGAAGACAAAUGUUUCUGUCACAGCCAGUAGAGCGACUGUCUUAACUCAUUUGCCUUUGGUGCCUGGCAGCAGUGGAGAUGCAACUGCCAAUGGAAGAGGAAUAGUGUGUCAGUAAUGCCUGCCGAACUGUCCCAGAAGUGGUGUGAGGUGGAGGAAUGUCUGCAACUUGAGAGACCGAGGGAUCCCGUAGUAUUAUGAACCUCUUGUUGCAGGUACGCUCUUGGAAAAUAAUUUGACAGAACUCUACUGAAUAAAACCUGUGUGAACUCCGCUUUAAGCCACAGUUAAGAAAAGUGAAGUCAAAAGAGCUCCUACCAAUGCCAUCAAUGGAAUCAAGAAAUACGACUUGUUGAAGUUACUUGAUCCAGCAAUCUAGCCAGUAUUAACAGAUAAAAACUGAUGAUCAAAUUAGCAGAGAAGAAAUUGUGUAAGAAAUAGAUUUAUCAAAAUCCAGAAUCAGCAUUCUUUAUUCAGUAUUAUUUAU